GUUAGCGGCGGACGGGUGAGUAACACGUGGGUAACCUGCCUGUAAGACUGGGAUAACUCCGGGAAACCGGAGCUAAUACCGGAUAGUUCCUUGAACCGCAUGGUUCAAGGAUGAAAGACGGUUUCGGCUGUCACUUACAGAUGGACCCGCGGCGCAUUAGCUAGUUGGUGGGGUAAUGGCUCACCAAGGCGACGAUGCGUAGCCGACCUGAGAGGGUGAUCGGCCACACUGGGACUGAGACACGGCCCAGACUCCUACGGGAGGCAGCAGUAGGGAAUCUUCCGCAAUGGACGAAAGUCUGACGGAGCAACGCCGCGUGAGUGAUGAAGGUUUUCGGAUCGUAAAGCUCUGUUGUUAGGGAAGAACAAGUGCGAGAGUAACUGCUCGCACCUUGACGGUACCUAACCAGAAAGCCACGGCUAACUACGUGCCAGCAGCCGCGGUAAUACGUAGGUGGCAAGCGUUGUCCGGAAUUAUUGGGCGUAAAGGGCUCGCAGGCGGUUUCUUAAGUCUGAUGUGAAAGCCCCCGGCUCAACCGGGGAGGGUCAUUGGAAACUGGGAAACUUGAGUGCAGAAGAGGAGAGUGGAAUUCCACGUGUAGCGGUGAAAUGCGUAGAGAUGUGGAGGAACACCAGUGGCGAAGGCGACUCUCUGGUCUGUAACUGACGCUGAGGAGCGAAAGCGUGGGGAGCGAACAGGAUUAGAUACCCUGGUAGUCCA
This 720-nucleotide ribosomal RNA is filed under the name Bacillus safensis. RNAcentral describes it as "bacterial SSU rRNA". It matches the Rfam family "Bacterial small subunit ribosomal RNA", at positions 91 to 797 of the family's 1533-position model. RNAcentral also lists the same sequence under 1 other name. Lineage: Bacteria; Bacillati; Bacillota; Bacilli; Caryophanales; Bacillaceae. The record is from RNAcentral.